UGGGGUAUGGUGUAAUCGGCAGCACGACAGGUUCUGGCCCUGUUAGUCUAGGUUCGAGUCCUGGUACCCCAG
Molecule: transfer RNA, 72 nt
Filed under: Actinoalloteichus caeruleus DSM 43889
Lineage: Bacteria; Bacillati; Actinomycetota; Actinomycetes; Pseudonocardiales; Pseudonocardiaceae
Also listed under: 2 other names
Description: Actinoalloteichus cyanogriseus DSM 43889 tRNA-Gln
Rfam family: tRNA
About the family: Transfer RNA (tRNA) molecules are approximately 80 nucleotides in length. Their secondary structure includes four short double-helical elements and three loops (D, anti-codon, and T loops). Further hydrogen bonds mediate the characteristic L-shaped molecular structure. tRNAs have two regions of fundamental functional importance: the anti-codon, which is responsible for specific mRNA codon recognition, and the 3' end, to which the tRNAs corresponding amino acid is attached (by aminoacyl-tRNA synthetases). tRNAs cope with the degeneracy of the genetic code in two manners: having more than one tRNA (with a specific anti-codon) for a particular amino acid; and 'wobble' base-pairing, i.e. permitting non-standard base-pairing at the 3rd anti-codon position.
Source: RNAcentral